Molecule: ribosomal RNA, 440 nt
Filed under: uncultured bacterium
Lineage: Bacteria
Description: partial 16S ribosomal RNA
Rfam family: Bacterial small subunit ribosomal RNA
Source: RNAcentral
CCUACGGGAGGCAGCAGUGGGGAAUAUUGCACAAUGGGGGAAACCCUGAUGCAGCGACGCCGCGUGAAGGAAGAAGUAUUUCGGUAUGUAAACUUCUAUCAGCAGGGAAGAAAAUGACGGUACCUGACUAAGAAGCCCCGGCUAACUACGUGCCAGCAGCCGCGGUAAUACGUAGGGGGCAAGCGUUAUCCGGAUUUACUGGGUGUAAAGGGAGCGUAGGCGGUUUAGCAAGUCAGAAGUGAAAGCCCGGGGCUCAACUCCGGGACUGCAUUUGAAACUGUUUCCCUUGAGUGUCGGAGAGGUAAUCGGAAUUCCUUGUGUAGCGGUGAAAUGCGUAGAUAUAAGGAAGAACACCAGUGGCGAAGGCGGAUUACUGGACGAUAACUGACGGUGAGGCGCGAAAGCGUGGGGAGCAAACAGGAUUAGAUACCCUGGUAGUC